UACGAAGGGGGCUAGCGUUGUUCGGAUUUACUGGGCGUAAAGAGUGUGUAGGCGGUGCUCUAAGUUCGGUGUGAAAUCUCCUGGCUUAACUGGGAGGGUGCGCCGGAAACUGGAAUGCUCGAGCGUGGGAGAGGAAAGCGGAAUUCCUGGUGUAGCGGUGAAAUGCGUAGAUAUCAGGAGGAACACCUGUGGUGUAGACAGCUUUCUGGACCAUUGCUGACGCUGAGACACGAAAGCGUGGGUAGCAAACAGG
Molecule: ribosomal RNA, 253 nt
Filed under: uncultured bacterium
Lineage: Bacteria
Description: partial 16S ribosomal RNA
Rfam family: Bacterial small subunit ribosomal RNA
Source: RNAcentral